RNAcentral lists this ribosomal RNA (947 nucleotides) under uncultured Flavobacterium sp. RNAcentral describes it as "bacterial SSU rRNA". It matches the Rfam family "Bacterial small subunit ribosomal RNA", at positions 41 to 992 of the family's 1533-position model. The record is from RNAcentral. Lineage: Bacteria; Pseudomonadati; Bacteroidota; Flavobacteriia; Flavobacteriales; Flavobacteriaceae.
GGCAAGCGCAGGCUACCAUGCAGUCGAGGGGUAUUGGUUUUCGGACCAAGAGACCGGCGCACGGGUGCGUAACGCGUAUGCAAUCUACCUUUUGCAGAGGGAUAGCCCAGAGAAAUUUGGAUUAAUACCUCAUAGUAUAGCAGUUUCGCAUGAGACCACUAUUAAAGUCACAACGGCAAAAGAUGAGCAUGCGUCCCAUUAGCUAGUUGGUAAGGUAACGGCUUACCAAGGCAACGAUGGGUAGGGGUCCUGAGAGGGAGAUCCCCCACACUGGUACUGAGACACGGACCAGACUCCAACGGGAGGCAGCAGUGAGGAAUAUUGGACAAUGGGCGCAAGCCUGAUCCAGCCAUGCCGCGUGCAGGAUGACGGUCCUAUGGAUUGUAAACUGCUUUUGUACAGGAAGAAACACCUCUACGUGUAGAGAUUUGACGGUACUGUAAGAAUAAGGAUCGGCUAACUCCGUGCCAGCAGCCGCGGUAAUACGGAGGAUCCAAGCGUUAUCCGGAAUCAUUGGGUUUAAAGGGUCCGUAGGCGGUUUAGUAAGUCAGUGGUGAAAGCCCAUCGCUCAACGGUGGAACGGCCAUUGAUACUGCUAGACUUGAAUUAUUAGGAAGUAACUAGAAUAUGUAGUGUAGCGGUGAAAUGCUUAGAGAUUACAUGGAAUACCAAUUGCGAAGGCAGGUUACUACUAAUUGAUUGACGCUGAUGGACGAAAGCGUGGGUAGCGAACAGGAUUAGAUACCCUGGUAGUCCACGCCGUAAACGAUGGAUACUAGCUGUUGGGCGCAAGUUCAGUGGCUAAGCGAAAGUGAUAAGUAUCCCACCUGGGGAGUACGUUCGCAAGAAUGAAACUCAAAGGAAUUGACGGGGGCCCGCACAAGCGGUGGAGCAUGUGGUUUAAUUCGAUGAUACGCGAGGAACCUUACCAAGGCUUAAAUGUAGAU